Molecule: long non-coding RNA, 1768 nt
Organism: Ziziphus jujuba (common jujube)
Lineage: Eukaryota; Viridiplantae; Streptophyta; Magnoliopsida; Rosales; Rhamnaceae
Exons: 5
Source: RefSeq, a predicted model, not a curated record
CAUCACCCUUCCCUCAAAGCUGGCUCAUCUCUUCUCAUUCAUCAAGCUUUCUUCACUUAGUUGCCCUUUUGCCCAGCUUUGGGGGAAGGGUGAUGAAGGAGAAGAGAAAGGUCAGGUGAAGAAAAGAAAGAAAAAAUAGAAACCUCCCAAGUUCUACCCCGCUGAUGACGUCAAGAAACUACUUGUCAACAAGCACAAGCACAAGCCCACCAAGCUCAGGUUCAAUUCCGAAAAGGAUGAGUAUUAUACCGGGGACAGUGUUAAUUGUGUUGGCUGGGAGAUUUAAAGGGAAGAGAGUUGUAUUCCUGAAGCAACUUUCAUCUGGCUUGCGUCUGGUGGGCAAGAUCGAUCCAUAUGUUAUUUUAAGCCUAGGGGACCAAGACAUACGCAGCAAAAAGAACAGCGAAACCACAAUCAUUGGACCUCCUAGUGAACCAAUUUAGAAUCAGGAUACAAGCAACUAUAGAACAUUGUCUGGUCAUAUGCAUCUUCUAUCAAGUCAUAUAAGAUAUUUGGUGAUGCAGUGUUGCUUGAUACCACUCAUUGCUUGACUGCAGUUGAUAUGCCACUUGGGAUAUGGGUUGGAAUGAAUAAUUAUGGUAUGCCUUGCUUCUUUGGUUGCUUGCUUCAACGAGAAGAAAAUUUGAGGUCUUUUUGAUGGGCAUUGAAGGUAGAACUUGGAAAAGGAGCCGUGCAUUAUGGAGCUCAGAAAUCAGGUAAUAUUUAUCUUGCUUUCUUUAGGUGGUGUCGAAAUUAUUGUAUUGAUUGUGAAACAUUUUCUCCUGUUUGUAUGGUACACAGUGCAGAAUUAUGAGAACAACAGAGUUGACUACUACAGAGGAGAAGCUACAUGAGCUUGAUAGACAAAAGGAAGAAAUGUUGAGGUUUGGUUCCCCUGCUUCCCUUCUCCAAAGGCUUGAAGGUAUAGAAUAUGAUAAUUUAUAGUUGGAAAUCUAAAUUGUGCAGUUUCUUUAUGCUCAAGCUCAAGUUUCUUUUUGUUGUUUUGUACAUAGUGGCUAUGCUUAAACACGAAAGAAUUAAUGUAGAGAAGCCAAAUUUCAUAAUAAGCUACUUUAUCUUAAUUACCUUUAACCUUUAUUUUACUGGUGUUUGUAUGCAAAUGCAAUGAACAUGACAGAUGACGAAUCUGAAAAUCUACACAAGCAGUUUUUUGUGCAGAUAUACAAGAAGCUUCGCAUCACUUAAGCGAGCACUAUUCUGAGCUUGAAAGAUUCUUCCAAUCUCUUUUAAAAUGCGGCUCCAUGGCAGUAUGUCCAUAAGAGAGUAGUCAGGAGGAAUUAAUUGUGCAGUUGUGGAAAAUAUUUAAAUAAAUUGAUAUGAAAGUGUCGAAUAAAUGGAACCAUCUCUCAUUUCUCAUCUACCCUGAUUUCUCAUUAACUGUCGAAUAAAGUGGAAAAUAUUUAAACAAAUUGUUUUACCAUCUCCCAUUUCUCAUCUACCCUCAUUAACUUCUAUCCCUCUCUCUUCCUCUCCCUGCUACCACAUUCAAUGAAUCCAAUGUGUCUCCCUAUCUCCUUCUCUUUUGUUGGUUACCUACCUUUCAGCCUUUCUUCACACUUACCAACCAGUGCAGAAAAUACAAUACCACCUUCAGUGCAGUUCAAUCUCCCUGCAUACCCCCAAGCUUUUGUGAUAACAAAAAGACUGAAAAUCUUCAUUGUGGAGCCCAUAAACUUCAAAAAUGUGUAAUUAAAGUAUACGUUUGUGCGCAGCAGAGGUAAAGAUUUUUGGUAUGUAUAUAUAUAUA